GGCAGCAUAGGUGCUUGCACCUGAUGGCGAGUGGCGAACGGGUGAGUAAUGCAUCGGAACGUGCCCAGUCGUGGGGGAUAACGCAGCGAAAGCUGUGCUAAUACCGCAUACGAUCUAUGGAUGAAAGCGGGGGACCUUCGGGCCUCGCGCGAUUGGAGCGGCCGAUGUUAGAUUAGGUAGUUGGUGGGGUAAAGGCUCACCAAGCCGACGAUCUAUAGCUGGUCUGAGAGGACGACCAGCCACACUGGAACUGAGACACGGUCCAGACUCCUACGGGAGGCAGCAGUGGGGAAUUUUGGACAAUGGGCGAAAGCCUGAUCCAGCAAUACCGCGUGCAGGAAGAAGGCCUUCGGGUUGUAAACUGCUUUUGUACGGAACGAAACGGCGUGCUCUAAUAAAGUGCGCUAAUGACGGUACCGUAAGAAUAAGCACCGGCUAACUACGUGCCAGCAGCCGCGGUAAUACGUAGGGUGCAAGCGUUAAUCGGAAUUACUGGGCGUAAAGCGUGCGCAGGCGGUUUUGUAAGACAGGCGUGAAAUCCCCGGGCUCAACCUGGGAAUUGCGCUUGUGACUGCAAGGCUAGAGUACGGUAGAGGGGGGUAGAAUUCCGCGUGUAGCAGUGAAAUGCGUAGAUAUGCGGAGGAACACCGAUGGCGAAGGCAGCCCCCUGGACCUGUACUGACGCUCAUGCACGAAAGCGUGGGGAGCAAACAGGAUUAGAUACCCUGGUAGUCCACGCCCUAAACGAUGUCAACUGGUUGUUGGGAAUUUACUUUCUCAGUAACGAAGCUAACGCGUGAAGUUGACCGCCUGGGGAGUACGGCCGCAAG
Molecule: ribosomal RNA, 830 nt
Filed under: uncultured beta proteobacterium
Lineage: Bacteria; Pseudomonadati; Pseudomonadota; Betaproteobacteria
Description: bacterial SSU rRNA
Rfam family: Bacterial small subunit ribosomal RNA
Source: RNAcentral